AAAGGCAUCGUGUGGACACACCUUAAUAUAGAUACCAAAAUGUUAUCUGUACUGAGAUACAAUUAUAUGUAGUUAGCAUUCUCUUCAUUCUGGGGGAAGUUCCGCUCAUAAAUAGAUGAAAUUAUCAAUAACUGCGACACGAACUGCAAAGUAACAAUUUGUUCGUCGUCGUUGCCAUGGUAACGCGUAACGUCAAUAUAGAUAGAGUGACAUACAGUAUUGGGUGUUUUUAUUAUGUUGUGUGAGAUCGUUGAAUUCUUACGAGAACACCUGUGCGUGAUACUGAUGAAAGUGAUGCGGAUGAAACAUGAAUAUAAUUUGGUAACAUUUUAUCUCAGAUCUAAACCGAAAAUCGUUUUAUAAGGUAAGAUACUUUAACUCGAAAUGACAGACAACGAAAACCCGAAUGUAUUUUUCAGCCGUAUUAAGGAGGACAAAUACCUGCUUGUGUGUUUCCAGUUCCAGAGUGAGUCACGUAAGAUAGACGAUUAUUGCAGUGUUGUUGCAAAAUUGACUGCAACCGCCGAUUAUUUGUUGAAUAAAAUUGUCAUUUGUAUCACCAACAAAGUAAAGGAGUUAAAAGACGCAGGAGGCGCACUAGGAGAUGUAGACGUUGAAUCCAUAUCUGCUAAAUUCUAUAGUAACGAUUGUCCAGUAUCCGCUGAUUGUUUAUGUAUGGACUUGCCGUUUUGGGUGGGCGACGAAAUGCAUUUGCGUAUUGGCAGUGUUCGAUAUAAUAUCGUGUUGAAUGGCCCAUGCGUAGAUGAAAUAAUCCUUCCAAGAGUCAUAAUAGUUGGUUUUCCGAUUUCCCCAUUUACUUUUAAGACUUCAUAUACGAAUGUGGGAGAUUGCGAGUUUCUGUGGUACAGGAAAAAACAGGGUGACUUCGAAUUAAUAGGAAAUGGUUAUUCCUAUACACCUACGACCGAAGAUGUUGGUUGUAUACUGAAGCUCAUCUGUAUUCCUGGAAACGGCGAUGUGAAAGGACCAAAGGUGGAAACAGUGUCGAAGAAAUGUGUGAAAGAAGGUCCAAAAAAGUUUCCAUUCGAAGACCGUCAUAUAUUCACACAAACAGGAGCAGCUCCUGGAAGUUUCAGAAUAAUGACCUAUAACAUACUGGCUGACUUCUGUGCUGGUACACCUAAGCUUCGUAAAGAACGAUUUCCAUAUUGUCCUCCUCAUGCUCUGAACAUAAACUACAGGAAACAGUUAUUACAAAAGGAAAUUAUAGGUUACAAUGUUGACAUCAUGUGUCUGCAGGAAGUUGACAAAAGUGUGUAUCAAGAUCAUUUGCUUCCGCUUCUUUCAACCAGAUACAAUGGAACUUUCAAAGUUAAAGGAACCAAGAUAACAGAAGGCUUGGCAUGUUUUUAUGACAAAUCUAAAUUUCGGUUGAAGGAGCAGCAUGGAAUUACACUUGCUCAUGAAUUACAAAUUAAUCCACGGUUACGUAACUUGUGGACUCUCAUGAAACCAGAAGUUGAAAAAAUACCUCGUUUUUUGAAAGCAGCAACUUCGUUACAGAUAGCUGUGUUGGUAUCUCUUGAAGAGGAGGAUAAUUGUGUGAUAAUUGCUAACACACAUUUACGCUCCUGGCCGGAACCUGAUUAUUUUCGUGCUCUGCAAGCUUCUGUUGCUCUUGCAUAUCUCCAGUCUGUUGUGGGAGAUAUUUCAAAGAAGAUGCCAGAAAAGAAAAUUGCUACAAUUUUGUGUGGUGAUUUCAACAGCACACCUGACAGCUGUGUGUAUGAACUGAUGGUUAACCAGUCUAUAGCGGAAAAUCAUCCUUGCUGGUCAGAAGAUUGUGCCUUUACCUCAUGAAGAAGAAGUCAAGGAACAUGAAGCAAUACCAAGUGUAGUUUUUCCAUCUGAUCAUUUAGCAUUAAUAGCUGAUAUCUGCUGGAUUUGAAAUGUUCUUUAUCAUGUUUACACUGAUGGUAGUUCCACCUUCAGAAUUUGGAUCCAAAGACUGAUCAACAACAAUAAAGCUCACUUGUUGUACCUGUAUCAACAAAACCAAAGGAACACUCGGUAUUAAGACAAUUUUUGCAAUUUAAAAAAUAAUAAUCAUAUGUUGUUCUUACUAUGUAUUUUUGUUGCAAAUGGAAAUUUAUUUUAUUUUAUAUUAUUUUUAAGAUAUAAUGUGUAGUGCUUUCCUUGUACUAGAGAAUCAUAUUAACAGGCAGGUACCAAAUGCCUGGCUGGUAUGAUACUGAGGUAGAUGAAUGUUAGAUUAGAAAGGUUGUUCACAUUGUUUUGAUAAAGAAAAGUAUCUGCCAUAAAUACUAGCAUUCCCUAAAGAUACGCAACAGACACAAACAUGAACAAAAUGUGAAACAAACAGAAGUUUCAUCUGACAAAGAAUUGGAGAGAACAGUUCUGUUCAAGAGGAUGAAAAGUAACCCAGUAUAAGAGAGAAAUUUAUCCUUAAUUUACGAUUUUGGGUAUUACUAACAUUUAAUAUUUGAUAUUUCCUUUGUCGUGGAAAGGUUCACACUCACUGUAAAGAUAGUGAUUUUAUACCAUUGUCUUUCCUGCUGGAUGCAGAAAUAUUUGCAAAAACUAACAAUUUAAUCACAUUUCGGUCAUUUGUGUCUGCUGUACACCAGGUUUUUAAAACCUUUACUACAUUGUUCAGAUGGCAUGUAAUUUUUAAACUGAGUAAUAAUUGGACUGUUUUAGUUCUGUUUACUUUUUUAUCGGCUCCAUUUUUAUCUCAUAACAACUUUAAAAUUGUGUAUUUGUCUAAAUGUUUUUAUGACUGUAUAUUACAUAAAAUACUUUGAAAUUACAUUCAUACAUACAACUGGCACUCUACAAUUCCCAGUGUAAAACCAUGGUGUCUAAAGUCAGACCAAACAAGCUGUAUUUUAAAUAAAUUUUAUUUCAUUCAGUA
This 2896-nucleotide unclassified non-coding RNA is filed under the name Schistocerca americana (American grasshopper). RNAcentral describes it as "2',5'-phosphodiesterase 12-like, transcript variant X6". Lineage: Eukaryota; Metazoa; Arthropoda; Insecta; Orthoptera; Acrididae. The record is from RNAcentral.